CUACGGGAGGCAGCAGUGAGGAAUUUUGCGCAAUGGGGGAAACCCUGACGCAGCAACGCCGCGUGAGUGAUGAAGGCUCUCGGGUCGUAAACCUCUGUCAAGUGGGAAGAACUCACAUGGUGAUAAUACCACUAUGUGUUGACGGUACCACUGAAGGAAGCACCGGCUAACUCCGUGCCAGCAGCCGCGGUAAU
RNAcentral lists this ribosomal RNA (194 nucleotides) under uncultured bacterium. Its description in RNAcentral is "partial 16S ribosomal RNA". It matches the Rfam family "Bacterial small subunit ribosomal RNA", at positions 339 to 524 of the family's 1533-position model. The record is from RNAcentral.